AGGUAAGCUACUAAGAGCGAAUGGUGGAUGCCUUGACUGGUAAAGGCGAUGAAGGACGUACUAGACUGCGAUAAGCUACGGGGAGCUGUCAAGAAGCUUUGAUCCGUAGAUUUCCGAAUGGGGCAACCCAAUGUAUAGAGAUAUACAUUACCUAUAUAGGAGCGAACGAGGGGAAUUGAAACAUCUUAGUACCCUCAGGAAAAGAAAUCAAUAGAGAUUGCGUCAGUAGCGGCGAGCGAAAGCGCAAGAGGGCAAACCCAGUGCUUGCACUGGGGGUUGUAGGACUGCAAUGUGCAAGAGGUGAGUUUAGCAGAACAUUCUGGAAAGUAUAGCCAUAGAGGGUGAUAGUCCCGUAUGCGAAAAACAAACCUUAGCUAGCAGUAUCCUGAGUAGGGCGGGACACGAGAAAUCCUGUCUGAAGCUGGGUCGACCACGAUCCAACCCUAAAUACUAAUACCAGAUCGAUAGUGCACAAGUACCGUGAGGGAAAGGUGAAAAGAACUGAGGUGAUCAGAGUGAAAUAGAACCUGAAACCAUUUGCUUACAAUCAUUCAGAGCCCUAUGUAGCAAUACAGGGUGAUGGACUGCCUUUUGCAUAAUGAGCCUGCGAGUUGUGGUGUCUGGCAAGGUUAAGCAAACGCGAAGCCGUAGCGAAAGCGAGUCUGAAUAGGGCGCUUAGUCAGAUGCUGCAGACCCGAAACGAAGUGAUCUAUCCAUGAGCAAGUUGAAGCUAGUGUAAGAACUAGUGGAGGACUGAACCCAUAGGCGUUGAAAAGCCCCGGGAUGACUUGUGGAUAGGGGUGAAAGGCCAAUCAAACUUCGUGAUAGCUGGUUCUCUCCGAAAUAUAUUUAGGUAUAGCGUUGUGUCGUAAUAUAAGGGGGUAGAGCACUGAAUGGGCUAGGGCAUACACCAAUGUACCAAACCCUAUCAAACUCCGAAUACCUUAUAUGUAAUCACAGCAGUCAGGCGGCGAGUGAUAAAAUCCGUCGUCAAGAGGGAAACAACCCAGACUACCAGCUAAGGUCCCUAAAUCUUACUUAAGUGGAAAACGAUGUGAAGUUACUUAAACAACCAGGAGGUUGGCUUAGAAGCAGCCAUCCUUUAAAGAAAGCGUAAUAGCUCACUGGUCUAGUGAUUUUGCGCGGAAAAUAUAACGGGGCUAAAGUAAGUACCGAAGCUGUAGACUU
RNAcentral lists this ribosomal RNA (1188 nucleotides) under Campylobacter coli. RNAcentral's name for it is "partial 23S ribosomal RNA". It matches the Rfam family "Bacterial large subunit ribosomal RNA", at positions 1 to 1209 of the family's 2925-position model. The record is from RNAcentral. Lineage: Bacteria; Pseudomonadati; Campylobacterota; Epsilonproteobacteria; Campylobacterales; Campylobacteraceae.